RNAcentral lists this ribosomal RNA (482 nucleotides) under uncultured bacterium. RNAcentral describes it as "partial 16S ribosomal RNA". It matches the Rfam family "Bacterial small subunit ribosomal RNA", at positions 30 to 507 of the family's 1533-position model. The record is from RNAcentral.
AUUGAACGCUGGCGGCAUGCCUUACACAUGCAAGUCGAACGGUAACAGGUCUUCGGAUGCUGACGAGUGGCGAACGGGUGAGUAAUACAUCGGAACGUGCCCGAUCGUGGGGGAUAACGGAGCGAAAGCUUUGCUAAUACCGCAUACGAUCUACGGAUGAAAGCAGGGGACCGCAAGGCCUUGCGCGGACGGAGCGGCCGAUGGCAGAUUAGGUAGUUGGGGGGAUAAAAGCUUACCAAGCCGACGAUCUGUAGCUGGUCUGAGAGGACGACCAGCCACACUGGGACUGAGACACGGCCCAGACUCCUACGGGAGGCAGCAGUGGGGAAUUUUGGACAAUGGGCGAAAGCCUGAUCCAGCCAUGCCGCGUGCAGGAUGAAGGCCUUCGGGUUGUAAACUGCUUUUGUACGGAACGAAAAGACUCUUUCUAAUAAAGAGGGUCCAUGACGGUACCGUAAGAAUAAGCACCGGCUAACUACGUG